This is a long non-coding RNA of Bubalus bubalis (water buffalo), 531 nucleotides long. RefSeq lists it as uncharacterized. The transcript has 2 exons. Lineage: Eukaryota; Metazoa; Chordata; Mammalia; Artiodactyla; Bovidae. The record is from RefSeq and is a predicted model, not a curated record.
AGUAGAGGUAAACGGUUUCCGAGUCUUGGGUUCCCGUAUGGUGCUACGGUCGCAGCUGGGUCGCUGGCGGCUCGGGAGCGAGGUGACACUCUCCGCAACACGCUCCCCCUCCCCCGCUCGGCCGCGGCGAGGAGAGGGCCUUCGGCGGCCCUUCUCGAGGGUUCUUAGCAGGAAGAACCCCCAGAUCCUCCUUUCCCGAAGGGCGCGAGCCCAGACCCGUGGUCGCAGCACAGUGAGAUCGUUCUUGCCCUGAGGACGCUCUGCUGUGGCCUCUGGGUGGGAGGAGAGGAUCAAAUGAAGUCAUGUCUGUGAAAACCCCUAGUGGACAGCGCAGCGGCCGCCACAUCUAAGCCCCGGGUCAUUAAAAUGGAAACAGCGAGGUCAGCUGUUGCCGAGCGGAGAAAAUGAUGCCGUGUGCAAAACUGCUUUGACUGGGGGAAAAGGACUGUGUGUCUUUGUAAGAUGUUACUCGUUGACUUGAGAGCCACAUGAAAUAUUCUGAAAUAAAAUGGAGGCAUCAAUAAGUAAAAA